GAUGAACGCUGGCGGCGUGCCUAACACAUGCAAGUCGAACGGAGUCCAGCCUUUAAGACCUUCGGGUCAAAGAGGGGAAGACUGAGUGGCGGACGGGUGAGUAACACGUGGGCAACCUGGCUCAUAGAGGGGGAUAACAGAGAGAAAUUUCUGCUAAUACCGCAUAAGCACACACUGCCGCAUGGCAGAGGGUGAAAAGAGAAUCGCUAUGAGAUGGACCCGCGUCUGAUUAGCCAGUUGGCAGGGUAAGAGCCUACCAAAGCGACGAUCAGUAGCCGAUCUGAGAGGAUGAACGGCCACAUUGGGAAUGAGACACGGCCCAAACUCCUACGGGAGGCAGCAGUGGGGGAUAUUGCACAAUGGGGGGAACCCUGAUGCAGCGACGCCGCGUGAGUGAAGAAGUAUUUCGGUAUGUAAAGCUCUAUCAGCAGGGAAGAUAAUGACAGUACCUGAAGAAGAAGCCCCGGCUAACUACGUG
This 478-nucleotide ribosomal RNA is filed under the name uncultured bacterium. Its description in RNAcentral is "partial 16S ribosomal RNA". It matches the Rfam family "Bacterial small subunit ribosomal RNA", at positions 28 to 507 of the family's 1533-position model. The record is from RNAcentral.